RNAcentral lists this long non-coding RNA (333 nucleotides) under Nicotiana benthamiana. Its description in RNAcentral is "long non-coding RNA (NBEN_LNC001912)". Lineage: Eukaryota; Viridiplantae; Streptophyta; Magnoliopsida; Solanales; Solanaceae. The record is from RNAcentral.
AAAUUUAAAUGUUCAUUCUGAGGCUUAUUUGGCACUGAUGCUAUAAAGGUGCAUGAUACAGACUAUGGUAAGUGCACAAAACAUCUUUUUGGACAAGGCACAAAAUCAGUGUACAUAUAGUAGAGUAUAGUGGUGGUUGCAGGGCUGUCUAGCUGUGCAGAUUUUUGUGUGAGAAUACGGGAGCCAGGGAAGAGUUUGGAGGAAAGAGCCAUUCUUUUAUUGGUUAGAUAUAAUUAGCUUGAGGCAUCAAAAAGUUCCAAAACAGGGCUAGUCUCUGCUGCUGAAAGCGCAACCCCAAUUGUAGCGCAUCUUCAGCUGCAGUUAAUUAAUACA